Alligator sinensis (Chinese alligator) is the source of this 580-nucleotide long non-coding RNA. RefSeq lists it as uncharacterized. NCBI's taxonomy places the organism in Eukaryota, Metazoa, Chordata, Crocodylia, Alligatoridae. The record is from RefSeq and is a predicted model, not a curated record. The transcript has 2 exons.
CCUGGAUAAAAGGGCCCCGGUGGCAGUGCUCCUCAUUCACUCACUGCUGCUCCUUUGCACCAGGCCUUCUUCUCAAACAAGCUUUGCCUACGCCAGAAAGAUGUGCUCCCACGGGUCCUGCCACAACCGCCACAGGUCCUGCCAUGGCUCCAGCUCUCACUGCCAUGAAUCCAGACCCUCCUGCAAUAUCGUUGUGGUAGAGAAGCCAUACUGCUGCCCCGUGCAGCGCUACUGUCCACCCGUGUCCUGCUGCUACCCAGGCUACCAGUAUUCGCAGUGCUGCAAGUUCCCACAGUACCCCAAGUACCCACAGUACCCCAAGUAGGAGACACGGCUCCAAGAAGACCUUCAUGUUCUACUCGUCCCAUUAUGAAGGUGGUCCCAGUGCCUACUGGUCAUCUGGUCUUGUUUCACAGAUUGUAAUUUCCUGUUUUCUUUCAUCUUUGAUUGUCUGUAACCUGCCCUGAAGAUGUGCCCACUGUGCAAGUGUGAUGAAAUCUUUACUAAGGAUCAUUUCUGUUCUCAUUCUUUGUUCUUCUGUUGGAUAAAAGAGUAAUAAUAAAACUUAUUAUUCAAGGAA